CAGUUGAACGAUCCGAUUUGAAAUAAAAUUAAGGUCCAAAUUCUUCAACUCUAUCUCUUCUCAUUUUAUCUGUGAUGAUGUCCUUGAUUUGUGUGGUUCAUGUUUGAGUUUGAUGGUUAAUUUUUGACAGUGUGUUUGAGCCUCUUUAAUUAUCGUAGUUUGAUCGGUUUAUUUAAUUGAUGUUGAUCAUGACGUUAGUGAUUCGGCUAUGUUGGU
Molecule: long non-coding RNA, 216 nt
Filed under: Capsicum annuum
Lineage: Eukaryota; Viridiplantae; Streptophyta; Magnoliopsida; Solanales; Solanaceae
Description: long non-coding RNA (CANN_LNC022263)
Source: RNAcentral